AAAUGAUCAAAAAAUAGCGUAAAUUGUUUUUAAAAAUACAUUUAAAACAAACAUUUUUCACAAUGCACAUUGAAGUUUACCUUUUUUGCCAAACAUUGCAACAGUUGUUGCAUUAAAAAAAAGCAUACAAUCUUUCUCCCAUCAAACUUUUAGGUUUCUGGCAAACAGUUGUACUUUUGACAGUUUUGGCACAAAUUUGUAGAAAGAUCACAUUUUUAAAACUUGCGGUGAACUUCUGGCUAACUUUGUGGAAAACUUUUGGCAAACAGUUGACUUUUUUAUUUACUUUUACUGCACUUUCACCAGAAUAUUCAUUUUUUGCAGAAGGUUCACUAAAAAAUUCAUAUUUAAUGAGAUUCUGGCAAGUAUUUCUGUGAACCAACCACCUAAAUUGGGAAAAAAUGUUCCCACUCAACCCCCUCGGGAUUUGAAGAAUAGAAUCUAAAAGACUCUCAAACAAGCUCUGACUGCUGCAAACUGGUUUGAUCAAUGAGAUUUCUCCAAAUUAUUGUAUAAAACAUGCGAACACCAGAGUUGUUUCUGCAUGUCACUGCUCGAGGACACAUUUACUGGAUUCAAAAUAUGACUAUAUCAGAAAAUACUGAUUUUGUCACAGAGUGAAUCGUGUCUGCAAGAUGAUUCUGGUAUCAAAUGUAGGUAAAAUGAUCCUUUUAUUGUCUAUAACUUGUUCUGACCAACCACAUGCUGACAUGAGCCUUGAAAGUUUACCCAGAAUGCACUUGUUAAAGUUUUCUCUGGUGAAUUAUCAGAAAACAGAAACACACAUUAGACAUUAAACUGCUGCAUUUUUACUGUUCAAACACAAUACUGUCAUAAUAUUGAUGCUCAGAGUCAGUUAUAUAGAAAAUGAACAAAAAUUAGAUUUAGCCUUUAGACUGUGACACAUGCAGUGGAUACAAACUGAUCUUGGUGCAGUUUUUAACAGAACUCAAAUGUGUUUUUCAGCCCUGAAAAUUCCACGUUUCUAUCAUCUGUAUUCACAAAGUUAUGGGCCUCAGACAUGAUGGAAAAAAGUAACGUAAAUUGAAAAAAGGGCAACAUUUUGUCCAACGUCAUGUACUUCAAGGAUCUGUAACCCUAAAAAUAUUCCUAGUAUGAAGGUAAAACUUUGUAUGUCGUCAUUAAAUACACUGAAAUUAUUGUUCUGUGAAAAUCACAUUCUGAGGCGGCCAGGUGGAAUGAAGAGAUUGAUUUUUUUUCAUGGACUCUUGAUUUAAUUCUAUCCAUCUACACUCACUUCAUCCUUCAGAUGAUCUCUGGGAUCACAUUCACGAUUCUGAAUCACCAUUUAACCUUCUGUAAAAGUCUUAGCUUGUCGACAGCCAGAUGAAAUCCUUGAAUAGAAAGUGAAAUUUCUAUUGAAAGUCCUUUUUAAAUAGGAAAUGCAAGGUUGCUAACUGUACUGAAACCAGCUUACUCACAGAUUUUUUUUCUUUUUUCUGUGACGUAAAGUCAGUUAUGUAACUUAAGGGUGUUUUAAAUACUAGAAUGAACAGAAAGUCGCAUUUAUGCAUCAAAUUUUGAUCGUUUUUGCAAAUAAUCCCUCAUGUUUUCCUUUAUUUUGGGAAGGUUUUGGAGCCAAAUUUCACUUUUCCUUGUGGGUUAUUAGAACAUAAGUGGAGCUGAAUUGACAAUCUCUAUACGGUCUGUGAAUGAAAGAAGGAAUAGAUGGAUGGAUACUUUGCUCCUGCAGCCAAGUUCUACUGAUCCUGGAUGUGUUUAAGGGGCAUUAUCUUGUUGAAACAUCCAGUUUGGACCUCAGUGGAACAGUUCUGUGCAGAAGGGAGCAUGUGGGUUUCAAGAAUGGCGCAAUACUUGGCGGAGUUCAGUGUGUCAUCAGUGUGAUGACCAACACCAGCAGCACUCAUGCAUCCCCAAACCAUGAUACUGCCUCCACCAUGCUUGACAGUAGGUACUGUACAUGCUGGAGAUAAUGCCUCGCCUUGGCCUUCUGUGUACUCUCACAUUAGCAGGAGGAAGAUAAAGCUGGAAACUGGACUCAUCUGACCACAGAAUCUUCUUCCAGUUCCUGGUUGUCCAGUUCUUGUGUGCUUGGGCCCAACAACGCUGGCUAACCUCCGUCUCUCAUUGAUCAGGUGCUUCUUGGCAGCCCUGUAGGACCUUAAGCCAUGAUCUAUAAGUCAGCCGCGUACAGCAUGGUAGAAAACUGGACACCAGUUUGGUUUGACAGCACUGCUGCUGAAUCUCCUGUGAUGUCAUUUGGUGGUUUUCCCUGCACAUGCAGAUCAGGAUGCAGUCAUUUCUUGCUGAAGAAACCCUUGGACGCCCAGAUCUUGGUUUGUCUGUAUUUCUGCAGAACUGCUGAAGGACUGCAUCUGCACUUCCUGGCUAUCUGGCGCCAGAUGUACCCUUCCUGGCUGAGAAUCUAUAGCUUGAGGCGUGUUUACUGCUUUAGGUUCCUUGUUUUAGCCAUUUUUGUCUCUGAAGAACUUUCAAAUGUGCUGGAUUUAUAUAGACAUGAAGCGUGGAAACAAAAACAUGUGUCUUUUAAUUAAAAGCACAGCCUUCAUUAGUGGAUCACUGGAACCAAAAUGAUCCAAUACUCAAAAUUUCUCGUGUAUUUUUAUGGAACCAAUCAAUUUUAAGUUUUUAAUGGCUGUUUUAGCAUUUGUUUAGUAUUUGGGCUGUGACUGUACUAAAAGAAAUUGCGCUUGCAGACCUAAGAGUGAUUAAUGCAGGGGAUGUCUGAAAACUUUUUUCCACCACUGUCUAUAGGAUCCUCUCAUCAAGGCCUCAGACCAAAGCUACAUAAAGUCCUCUCUGUCCUCUAUGGAUGUGUUUCCAGUCACAUCCUCAUAAAUCCCUUUGCAAUAAUGAAUGAGAUACUCGCUCAGUUCACCUUUCUAGUAAAGCUUCACUGUCUAAUUUGUACAAAUAUUGUUUUGGGUGGAAGCAAUUAACGGUAGUGAUGCGCUUAGGUGACACGGCGGAGCUGAAUCAUACCUCAGAUGCUGAACCCAAAUAGGAUCCGGUGUGUUUCUCUUUAGUUAAAUUCAUUAAAGGGCGGAGAAGCCAUUAUCUCAGCAAACUGCCAUGGCUGAAUAAUUAAUCAUCCCAUCACUUGUUUGUUGGACCUGAAUGUAUAACAUUUAUUCCUCGCUCCUUUGCCUGCUAAUGAAAUCCUUUCUUUAAUUUGAGAAAAAUGUUGGCUCUUCAUGUUUAGUCCCAGCUGACUCUUGAUUUGACUAAUGCAUAAUAAAUUGCAAUUAUGUGACAUAGAAGAAUAAUGUGGAAGAAAAGGUCAAGAACACCUUGAGACGCUUUAAAAUAAUAUGUAAUAAUAUUUAGGUAUAAUUAGAUAUCUCAGGCAAAUAGUUGGACUUUCAUAUCAUAUUUGUGUUGUUGUGACAAGGUACUUUCAAUACUGUUAAAAAAAUACAAUUUGACCUAUUCUUGUUUUUUUAAUUGGUAGCUUUUUUUCUGUAUUUUUGAAAUACAUGAAAUUAUAAAUGAAAAUACAAAGAUAGCCUGUGAUUUUACAUGUCUAAUCUCAAAUACCAUUAGAAAUCUGUUACUUUGAGCAACUUUAAAUUGUAAUUUAUUUUAGGAAAUUCACAUUUUUGACAGAAGAAAAUCUAUUCAGAUAUAUUUUAGUUUGUGACAAUUUAUAGAAAAACGAGUUUUGCUUCUGGAUUUUUUUCUAAUUUCUUUGUUCGAUGAGAGUUUUUAAAACCAAACAUUUGAAUGAAUGUGUUUUUAAAAAUGCAUGAUAUCUAUAAGCAUUGGUAUUGAGUCCUAAUACAGUUUCUAUCAUUACAAUUUUUUAAAGAACCGAAAAGCUCUAGGACAGUGGAACAUGACCUCCUACCAUCGUUUUGAGGAGAUGGAACCAACCUGAACCUGAAUUGUCAAAAACCCUCAAACUGCAUCAUAAUUAGCAGAAAAAGUAAUUAGCAGCGGUAGAUGAAUGGAAUCUCUCUGACAUGUCAUGUUGAGGUACAAACGGGAAUGAAAGUAAAAUACCUUGAAAUUGUGAAUGCACAGUACUUGAAAAUGUAUUUAGUUACUUUUCAUUGCUGGCUUUCAUUAGUGGCUGAUAUUAGAAACAGAGUUUUUUGUUUGUCUGUGAAAAGCUGACAUUUUGGAGGCUGCAUUCGAAGCCUUUCACAUGGCAACGGUCACAACAGCACAACAAUAGCAGGCGAAGGUGAAAAUAGAUUUUGGCUGACAACCACCACAGCUAAUCAUGGCUGCAGUACAAUGGAGGUUUUCAUGCUUUUAGGCCCUAAUAAAAUCAAAGUAUAACACCCUCUGCGCUCCGACGUGUCCCUCAUUUUCCUGGAUUGAUUUUUCGUCUUAUUAUAAUGGAUCGUAUGUGGCAAGUAAACAUGAGUUUUAAAAGAAAAAGAUUGUAAAUUGACCCGUGUUUUCUUUGCCAGGUUGCAAAUAAAUGGCCUUUUAAAGGACUGUGUAUUCAUUAGGGUACUGGCAAAGGAUUGUUUAAUGAGCUUAAAGAAAUGCACUAAUCUGAAAUAAAUGAGCUCAUGACCACUGUUCCCUCUAAACUGCGCGCGUGCGCAAUUGCGCACUGCUGACACGGUGUCCGCGCACAGAAAAUCUGCUGUGCACCAAAAAAAAAUCCAACCUAAAUUGUAAAUAAAAUAAACACGUAACAAUUCAUUCUGUGCUAUUUUUCAAUGUGAGUCAGUGAGUGACCGGUGACUGGCUGCUGCAGCCAAUGAUGCGAUUCACAUACGUAUUUACCAUAGACUGUAUAUAAUGGUAUUUACGCAGCUAGUCAACGUCAUUGACAGGCGUCCUUAUGUGCAGCCAUCGUUGUUGUCAUAGAUAUGAAUGAGUAGAUAGGACACGCCCCUUUGAGCUGCGUGCUACAGCGAGGCUAAGCUAGUGGGGGCAAAGUUUCAGUGCAUUCCGUUGAUGUAGACGGCGUGAAAACGGAAACAACAAGUAUGCCGGCUAACUGUGCUGCAUACAGUUACACACUACGUCGUACGAUUGAGACAAGGAAACUUGGAAUGACUUUUCAUAGGUUUCCCAGAGACUAUGGGUUGAGGAGGAAUUGGAAGUUUGUCGGCUUAGACCUGGUGUCAUUCCAUCAGUGUUAAACUUCCCGGCUCAUCUUGGAAGAGUACGUGCCAGAAAGACCACGACCAAGCAGCCUUGAGAUCUUAGGCAGCGUCUCCCUGAGACCAAAGAACUACAGACUCUUCACAACCUGCUCAAACUCUUGGUACAGGACCUCACCACACGGGUCAAGAAGGUUUCCGUGUCAUUUCUACUCUGAAGCUCACCUUCUCCUGCUCAAACUGCUGACAAAUGUUUCUGCUGCUCUAAAGUCUGGUCUCCAGAACUUCCUAAAAACUCUCAAAGUCUCUUCUGCUGCAGGUUGCUUUGUAGAACUGUUGCAGAAAACCUCACUAAACCACAUGGAGGGGCCUCAAGAUAGUCGUCCAAAUGAAACCAUACAAAAACCAAACUAGCACAACCCAAACGCUAAAGUCUCCUGCAGCCUACCAGAGAACCUCUGAGAACAGAGAAUCAGGACAGGAACUCUUACCUUCUGGACAACCAACGCUGGUUCUCAAGCAAGAAUACAGAAUGUGUCUGACCAGAAACCUCUGAAGACUCACUACAGCCAAGAUAAAGACACAACUCAGCUGCACCAAAUCCACUAAUCACUGCACACAUUAGCACCAUGUGCUAACUGUGGCUAAAGAACCACAUUUACCAAGACAACUAUCCAGUACAAAGCCCUAAAACACACCAAGAAACACAUUAAAGAUGAUUUUACUGCUGGAAGCUGCAAGCCAACACCUAAAGAACAAACUACAGCAACGGCGCCAAACCCGGUUCAGUGGUGAAGAGAAGCAGAGGAAAUGUUUGUCUGCAGCUAAAUAAAGCAGGAAGACACUGAGCUGCUCAGGUGUUCCUGAUAACACCAAGCAGCCACCUGGACAGCCAAUAGGAACACAGCUUCCUGGAAGUCCAGAGGGCUGGGUUAGUGAAGGAAAUUUAAUUUAAAGUUGAAGCAGAAAGUUAACAAAGAAAGUUGAAAACCACCUUCUGAUACCUGAAAUCUCUGAGUUUUCACACAAAGAACACCUGAACAUGUCAAACUGGUUCCAUAGUAGAACCAUCAUUGUAAAAACGUCAUAGUAUGGUGUGUUGCUCAAAAAACAUUAGGACCCGGCUGUCAGGGGACAAACAUGUAAGAAACAUGAGAACAGAGAGAACCCAACCAGUAGGUCACAGUUUAUCAUCCCCCAGUCAUCUCCUGAAGUCCAUAUGGUGAGAGACAUCAGUAUCUGGUUGUUCAUUUACCAGAGGAUGCUUAUAAUCAUGCUGAUGUGGUCUGUACUCUACAGUAUUUUAGUGACUCAAUAAAUGCCUAAGUUGUUUUUUUUAAAAUGCUUUUUAGUUUUUAAUAAACAUUUAACAGCC
Molecule: long non-coding RNA, 6444 nt
Organism: Amphiprion ocellaris (clown anemonefish)
Lineage: Eukaryota; Metazoa; Chordata; Actinopteri; Pomacentridae
Exons: 3
Source: RefSeq, a predicted model, not a curated record